Molecule: long non-coding RNA, 360 nt
Organism: Carassius carassius (crucian carp)
Lineage: Eukaryota; Metazoa; Chordata; Actinopteri; Cypriniformes; Cyprinidae
Exons: 3
Source: RefSeq, a predicted model, not a curated record
UGGGACAGAAAAGGUGGGGAAGUGGAAUUCACUGCAGAACCACAUCCAAAAUGUACAUGUUCAUGAGAACCACCUCUUCCCCAAGUGUGAACACCCAGACAAAGUUUCCAGGGAUCCAAAAAAAUGGAUCCAACCAGGAUCAAUAGCGCUCCAUAAAGUGGAAAAGCUAUUAUACAACAAGAGAGUUCUCAAGGAUAUAGAAAAGCUCAGCCACAACUUUCAGACGUCAUCACUGGAGGCUUUCCACAGUCUGAUUUUGCGUUUUGCCCCAAAGAACGUGAUUUUCCCUUUCAUAGGAAUGUUGUGCAGGCUGUAUCUUGCAGCAAUGCACUAUGAUGAAAAUGCUAACCGUGAGCAGGC